Molecule: ribosomal RNA, 524 nt
Filed under: Prosoeca longipennis
Lineage: Eukaryota; Metazoa; Arthropoda; Insecta; Diptera; Nemestrinidae
Description: partial large subunit ribosomal RNA
Rfam family: Bacterial large subunit ribosomal RNA
Source: RNAcentral
AAAAACAUGUCCUUUAGGAUUUAAUUUAAGGUCUAGCCUGCCCACUGAGUUAUUAAAUGGCCGCAGUAUUUUAACUGUGCAAAGGUAGCAUAAUCAUUAGUCUUUUAAUUGAAGGCUUGUAUGAAUGGUUGGACAAAAUAUAUAUUGUUUCAUUUAAAUUUAUAGAAUUUUAUUUUUCAGUUAAAAAGCUGAAAUUUAAUUAAAAGACGAGAAGACCCUAUAGAUCUUUAUAAUUGUUGAAUUUAAUUUAUUAAGGAUAUUUUAUUUUUAAUUUAUAUAAUUAUUUUAUUGGGGUGAUAGUAAGAUUUAUUUAACUCUUGUAUAGUUUAAUACAUAAAUUAAUGAUUAAUUGAUCCAGUAUUAUUGAUUAGUAAAAUAAGUUACCUUAGGGAUAACAGCGUAAUUUUUUUAGAGAGUUCUUAUCGAUAAAAAAGAUUGCGACCUCGAUGUUGGAUUAAGAGAUAAGUUUGGGCGUAGCCGUUCAAAUUUAAAGUCUGUUCGACUUUUUAAUUCUUACAUGAUCU